RNAcentral lists this ribosomal RNA (253 nucleotides) under uncultured bacterium. RNAcentral's name for it is "partial 16S ribosomal RNA". It matches the Rfam family "Bacterial small subunit ribosomal RNA", at positions 524 to 776 of the family's 1533-position model. The record is from RNAcentral.
GACGUAGGAGGCGAGCGUUAUCCGGAUUCACUGGGCGUAAAGCGCAUGUAGGCGGUUGGACAAGUCGUGUGUUAAAGCCCCUGGCUCAACUGGGGGAGGUCAUGCGAGACUGUGCGACUUGAGGGCAAGAGAGGCACGUGGAACUCCCGGUGUGGCGGUGGAAUGCGUAGAGAUCGGGAAGAACACCAGUGGCGAAGGCGACGUGCUGGGUUGCACCUGACGCUGAGAUGCGAAAGUGUGGGGAGCAAACGGG